Suricata suricatta (meerkat) is the source of this 603-nucleotide long non-coding RNA. RefSeq lists it as uncharacterized. Lineage: Eukaryota; Metazoa; Chordata; Mammalia; Carnivora; Herpestidae. The transcript is spliced from 4 exons. The record is from RefSeq and is a predicted model, not a curated record.
AACAGAUAGCAGGAGUAAUGGCGGGACAUUAAGCAUCCCUCGAGGGCGGAAACACCUCGCUGCUGUCCGUCACCCUCUGCUCCGCCUGAUGGGGCCCCGUCCUGACCCAGGACCACUGGAUAAGCCAAGACCAUCUCCCGUCUGAGGACCCCUGACUCCCUUACCUGAGAUCCCGUCUUUGAAUGUAGAACCCAUUUGCUCGAAGAAGGUUUCGUUCGUCUGCCCACCUCCCAUCUGGACUGUGAGCCCUGAGCACAGACAGGACGGCAGGCCCGGCCCCCAGGCGCACAGCCAGCAAGGGGGCGGGACUUCCCCCCGGAGCCUCCGGAGAAGAGCCGGCCCCCCACACCUGUGAGAGCCGGAGCGGGAAACCCAGCAGGACUUUGCCAAACCUCCGCCCUGCAGAGCUGGGAGCUGGCAAACCGCCGCUGCGUUAAGCCGAUGGCCGAGCGCAUUGAAGACACCAAAUAGAACCCCGACACCCCGGCUGCGCCCACUCCGAGGGGCACGUGCGAGCGGAGGCACCCCAAGUCUGAGCGUGGAGACGGGCACGUGCCCCUGCUGGAGCCCGGAGCGCACACACAACUGGGCUGCGCACAUGGG